RNAcentral lists this ribosomal RNA (589 nucleotides) under uncultured bacterium. RNAcentral's name for it is "bacterial SSU rRNA". It matches the Rfam family "Bacterial small subunit ribosomal RNA", at positions 338 to 917 of the family's 1533-position model. The record is from RNAcentral.
UCUACGGGAGGCAGCAGUAGGGAAUCUUCCGCAAUGGACGAAAGUCUGACGGAACAACGCCGCGUGAGUGAUGAAGGUUUUCGGAUCGUAAAACUCUGUUGUUAGGGAAGAACAAGUACCGUUCGAAUAGGGCGGUACCUUGACGGUACCUAACCAGAAAGCCACGGCUAACUACGUGCCAGCAGCCGCGGUAGUACGUAGGUGGCAAGCGUUGUCCGGAAUUAUUGGGCGUAAAGCGCGCGCAGGUGGUUUCUUAAGUCUGAUGUGAAAGCCCACGGCUCAACCGUGGAGGGUCAUUGGAAACUGGGGAACUUGAGUGCAGAAGAGGAAAGUGGAAUUCCAAGUGUAGCGGUGAAAUGCGUAGAUAUUUGGAGGAACACCAGUGGCGAAGGCGACUUUCUGGUCUGUAACUGACACUGAGGCGCGAAAGCGUGGGGAGCAAACAGGAUUAGAUACCCUGGUAGUCCACGCCGUAAACGAUGAGUGCUAAGUGUUAGGGGGUUUCCGCCCCUUAGUGCUGCAGCUAACGCAUUAAGCACUCCGCCUGGGGAGUACGGUCGCAAGACUGAAACUCAAAGGAAUUGACGGA